ACCUUAUCAAGAGCCGGGGGAGGAAACUGGUCCGCAGAUCCCGCAGCAACCGUUACGUGGUAACAAGGUGCUCACUCCAGCAAGCGCAUGCUUGAAAGAUGAGGA
Molecule: non-coding RNA, 105 nt
Filed under: Bhargavaea cecembensis
Lineage: Bacteria; Bacillati; Bacillota; Bacilli; Caryophanales; Caryophanaceae
Also listed under: 1 other name
Description: SAM-I sequence
Rfam family: SAM riboswitch aptamer (S box leader)
About the family: The SAM riboswitch is found upstream of a number of genes which code for proteins involved in methionine or cysteine biosynthesis in Gram-positive bacteria. The SAM riboswitch acts at the level of transcription termination control. The predicted structure consists of a complex stem-loop region followed by a single stem loop terminator region.
Source: RNAcentral